CCGGCUGGCCCUGUUUGUAGGGGGCAGGUCAAGAGAUUUGUAAUCAUCAGGUGGCGGGUUCGAGUCCUGCAGCCGCACCA
RNAcentral lists this transfer RNA (80 nucleotides) under Burkholderia pseudomallei. RNAcentral describes it as "tRNA-Thr". The record is from RNAcentral. Lineage: Bacteria; Pseudomonadati; Pseudomonadota; Betaproteobacteria; Burkholderiales; Burkholderiaceae.